AAAUUGAAGAGUUUGAUCAUGGCUCAGAUUGAACGCUGGCGGCAGGCCUAACACAUGCAAGUCGAGCGGAAACGAGUUAUCUGAACCUUCGGGGGACGAUAACGGCGUCGAGCGGCGGACGGGUGAGUAAUGCCUAGGAAAUUGCCCUGAUGUGGGGGAUAACCAUUGGAAACGAUGGCUAAUACCGCAUGAUGCCUACGGGCCAAAGAGGGGGACCUUCGGGCCUCUCGCGUCAGGAUAUGCCUAGGUGGGAUUAGCUAGUUGGUGAGGUAAGGGCUCACCAAGGCGACGAUCCCUAGCUGGUCUGAGAGGAUGAUCAGCCACACUGGAACUGAGACACGGUCCAGACUCCUACGGGAGGCAGCAGUGGGGAAUAUUGCACAAUGGGCGCAAGCCUGAUGCAGCCAUGCCGCGUGUGUGAAGAAGGCCUUCGGGUUGUAAAGCACUUUCAGUCGUGAGGAAGGUAGUGUAGUUAAUAGCUGCAUUAUUUGACGUUAGCGACAGAAGAAGCACCGGCUAACUCCGUGCCAGCAGCCGCGGUAAUACGGAGGGUGCGAGCGUUAAUCGGAAUUACUGGGCGUAAAGCGCAUGCAGGUGGUUUGUUAAGUCAGAUG
This 614-nucleotide ribosomal RNA is filed under the name Vibrio alginolyticus. RNAcentral describes it as "partial 16S ribosomal RNA". It matches the Rfam family "Bacterial small subunit ribosomal RNA", at positions 1 to 594 of the family's 1533-position model. Lineage: Bacteria; Pseudomonadati; Pseudomonadota; Gammaproteobacteria; Vibrionales; Vibrionaceae. The record is from RNAcentral. RNAcentral also lists the same sequence under 1 other name.